RNAcentral lists this ribosomal RNA (1372 nucleotides) under uncultured bacterium. RNAcentral describes it as "bacterial SSU rRNA". It matches the Rfam family "Bacterial small subunit ribosomal RNA", at positions 28 to 1381 of the family's 1533-position model. The record is from RNAcentral.
GAUGAACGCUGGCGGCGUGCCUAAUACAUGCAAGUCGAGCGAACGGACGAGAAGCUUGCUUCUCUGAUGUUAGCGGCGGACGGGUGAGUAACACGUGGAUAACCUACCUAUAAGACUGGGAUAACUUCGGGAAACCGGAGCUAAUACCGGAUAAUAUUUUGAACCGCAUGGUUCAAAAGUGAAAGACGGUCUUGCUGUCACUUAUAGAUGGAUCCGCGCUGCAUUAGCUAGUUGGUAAGGUAACGGCUUACCAAGGCAACGAUGCAUAGCCGACCUGAGAGGGUGAUCGGCCACACUGGAACUGAGACACGGUCCAGACUCCUACGGGAGGCAGCAGUAGGGAAUCUUCCGCAAUGGGCGAAAGCCUGACGGAGCAACGCCGCGUGAGUGAUGAAGGUCUUCGGAUCGUAAAACUCUGUUAUUAGGGAAGAACAUAUGUGUAAGUAACUGUGCACAUCUUGACGGUACCUAAUCAGAAAGCCACGGCUAACUACGUGCCAGCAGCCGCGGUAAUACGUAGGUGGCAAGCGUUAUCCGGAAUUAUUGGGCGUAAAGCGCGCGUAGGCGGUUUUUUAAGUCUGAUGUGAAAGCCCACGGCUCAACCGUGGAGGGUCAUUGGAAACUGGAAAACUUGAGUGCAGAAGAGGAAAGUGGAAUUCCAUGUGUAGCGGUGAAAUGCGCAGAGAUAUGGAGGAACACCAGUGGCGAAGGCGACUUUCUGGUCUGUAACUGACGCUGAUGUGCGAAAGCGUGGGGAUCAAACAGGAUUAGAUACCCUGGUAGUCCACGCCGUAAACGAUGAGUGCUAAGUGUUAGGGGGUUUCCGCCCCUUAGUGCUGCAGCUAACGCAUUAAGCACUCCGCCUGGGGAGUACGACCGCAAGGUUGAAACUCAAAGGAAUUGACGGGGACCCGCACAAGCGGUGGAGCAUGUGGUUUAAUUCGAAGCAACGCGAAGAACCUUACCAAAUCUUGACAUCCUUUGACAACUCCAGAGAUAGAGCCUUCCCCUUCGGGGGGCAAAGUGACAGGUGGUGCAUGGUUGUCGUCAGCUCGUGUCGUGAGAUGUUGGGUUAAGUCCCGCAACGAGCGCAACCCUUAAGCUUAGUUGCCAUCAUUAAGUUGGGCACUCUAAGUUGACUGCCGGUGACAAACCGGAGGAAGGUGGGGAUGACGUCAAAUCAUCAUGCCCCUUAUGAUUUGGGCUACACACGUGCUACAAUGGACAAUACAAAGGGCAGCGAAACCGCGAGGUCAAGCAAAUCCCAUAAAGUUGUUCUCAGUUCGGAUUGUAGUCUGCAACUCGACUACAUGAAGCUGGAAUCGCUAGUAAUCGUAGAUCAGCAUGCUACGGUGAAUACGUUCCCGGGUCU